GUCUAUGGCCGUACCACCCUGGGAACGCCCAAUCUCGUCUGAUCUCGGAAGUUAAACAGGGUCAGGCCCGGUUAGUACUUGGAUGGGAGACCUGCUGGGAAUACCGGGUGCUGUAGGCU
Molecule: ribosomal RNA, 119 nt
Filed under: Fulmarus glacialis (Northern fulmar)
Lineage: Eukaryota; Metazoa; Chordata; Aves; Procellariiformes; Procellariidae
Source: RNAcentral